AUUGAACGCUGGCGGAAUGCUUUACACAUGCAAGUCGAACGGUAGAGGGGGCAACCCCUCGAGAGUGGCGAACGGGUGAGUAAUAUAUCGGAACGUGCCCAGUCGUGGGGGAUAACGUAGCGAAAGUUACGCUAAUACCGCAUACGAUCUAAGGAUGAAAGCGGGGGAUCGCAAGACCUCGCGCGAUUGGAGCGGCCGAUAUCAGAUUAGGUAGUUGGUGGGGGAAAGGCUCACCAAGCCAACGAACUUUAGCUGGUCUGAGAGGACGACCAGCCACACUGGAACUGAGACACGGUCCAGACUCCUACGGGAGGCAGCAGUGGGGAAUUUUGGACAAUGGACGCAAGUCCGAUCCAGCCAUUCCGCGUGCAGGAUGAAGGCCCUCGGGUUGUAAACUGCUUUUGUACGGAACGAAAAGGUCUCUCUUAAUACGGGGGACUCAUGACGGUACCGUAAGAAUAAGCACCGGCUAACUACGUGCCAGCCGCCGCAGUAA
Molecule: ribosomal RNA, 496 nt
Filed under: uncultured bacterium
Lineage: Bacteria
Description: partial 16S ribosomal RNA
Rfam family: Bacterial small subunit ribosomal RNA
Source: RNAcentral